CGCGGGGACCCUCACCAGGCCCCAGACAUUGUUAUGAUUGACAAGAUUAAGAGUUCUUUCUCGAUUCUAUGGGUGGUGGUGCAUGCCCGUUCUUAGUCGGUGAGGUGACUAGUCUGGUUAAUUCCGACAACGGACGAGACCUCGACCUGGCUAGAUUAACAACGUUCAUUCUGAUGGAUAUUUGUUACUUAGAGGGACACUGUGUUUAAACGCAGGGAAGUCCGAGCCUAUAACAGGUCUGUGAUGCCCUUAGAUGGCAUGGGCUGCACGUGCGCUACAAUGGAUAAAAUAGCAAGAAUCCCUCUCCGACAGGAGCAGGAAAUCUUUUGAAAUUUAUCCGUAAUUGGGAUCGAUCAUUGCAAUUAUUGAUCGUGAACGAGGAAUUCCUAGUAAGGACAAGUCAUCACCUUGUGCUGAUUAUGUCCCUGCCCUUUGUACACACCGCCCGUCGCUUCAACCGAUUGGAUGAUCCGGCAAAGUGGACGGACAGGCGUACCAGUUUGCUAGUCAAAUUGGCACCGUUGGAAGUACCCCUGAGCCUUAUCAUCUAGAGGAUGAAGAAGUCGUAACACGGUAUCCGUAG
RNAcentral lists this ribosomal RNA (583 nucleotides) under uncultured gregarine. RNAcentral describes it as "bacterial SSU rRNA". It matches the Rfam family "Eukaryotic small subunit ribosomal RNA", at positions 1204 to 1808 of the family's 1831-position model. Lineage: Eukaryota; Apicomplexa; Conoidasida. The record is from RNAcentral.